Molecule: ribosomal RNA, 506 nt
Filed under: uncultured bacterium
Lineage: Bacteria
Description: bacterial SSU rRNA
Rfam family: Bacterial small subunit ribosomal RNA
Source: RNAcentral
GACGAACGCUGGCGGCGUGGAUUAGGCAUGCAAGUCGAACGGUAUCAUCCUUUCGGGGGUGAGAGAGUGGCGAACUGGUGAGUAACACGUAGGUUAUCUACCCUCAAGACGGGGACAACCCAGGGAAACUUGGGCUAAUACCGGAUGUGAGCAACUUUUAGUUGUUUGAAAGGUGGCGUAAGCUGUCGCUUGGGGAUGAGCCUGCGUCCUAUUAGUUAGUUGGUGAGGUAACGGCUCACCUAGGCAAUGAUAGGUAGGCGGCCUUAACGGGUGGUCGCCCACACUGGGAUUGAGAUACGGCCCAGACUCCUACGGGAGGCAGCAGUCGAGAAUAGUCUACAAUGGUCGGAAGACUGAUAGUGCGACGCCGCGUGAACGAUGAAUCCCUUCGGGGUGUAAAGUUCUUUUAUAUGUGAGCAGUGCUUCUUAUAUUAACAGUAUGGGGAAGAGAUAUUAGCAUAUGAAUAAGCAAACGGCUAAACUCCGUGCCAGCAGCCGCGGUAAUA